UUGCUGGGGUGCCGGAUGAAGAAGAUCCCGGCUUGCUGAUUUGGGAAGGAAGAAGACGCUGCGGGAUGAGCUGGAAACGUUGGUUGGAGACGCGUGGAUCACUGGAGGGGCGGACGUCGGUUGCUGGCUAGCGGGCUGAGGCGGAGGCUGCCGUGGGAUCGUCCGGCUUGGAUCACGGGAGAGGGGCUGGAGCUUACUUGGAAAGCGCCGCGGGACCACUGCUAGCAUCACGGGAGGGAAGAGCUGGCUCGGGAGCUCUCGAUGUGGAGGAGGCCGGACGGGAUGAGUGGCUGUGAGCCGCUGGGAGCAGCGUUGAAGACGCGGAAUGGAAGAGACGCACGUGGGAUGAGGCGGAGGAGCUGCAGAUCUGGAAAGAGUUGGAGGUGUCGUGGACAGCGGAUGGUGGCGUGAUCACGCCUUGCUGGAACGUUGAAUGGGUCAUGUGCCAGUUUCUGCAAUGGACUUAGAUUUUGGAAGGUCUGGGACUUUCUUUGCCCUCCUGAGAUGAGAGCUGGGAGAUGCCAAGUUCCGUCCAAUUAGUCAUAUAGAUAAAAAAAUAGUGUGAUAUGAAAUUUGGCUUGUAGACGGACGGACUGAGUUCGUCACGGGUCAUCUGUUCUGACUGGAGGUUAAGUGCAAGUCUUUCAAGUCAUGGGUCACCCAGCACCUCAUAGUUAUGAUAUGGCCAAAUUAGAUUUGCCCAAAAUUCCUUCCCAAAAACACGAAGAAAAUGGACUUGAUUCGGACCCGAACCUGACUCGGACCCGACCCGAUAUUCAACCGGAUCGGAUCUGGGGAGGGAUCCUUUUGAAGUCAAAUUUGUACUCAAUGUGCAUUUUAUCUCUAAUUUAUGAUAAUCUGUGUCAACCCCAAAUAUAAUAUUAAUCCAGUGAAUUUAUCAUUAUCGGUUAGCAAUAACACUAAUUUUAGUGACAUGUAGGUUGCACUUUUGUGCUCUCAUCACACCCCCCAACUAGCUUAUUGCUAGUCUCUAGCAAUUAACAAGCAAACGAUAAAAUGAGGGCACAAAAAGAUGUAGUCUAACUUAUGACUUUUUCUCCUUUUUUUUUUUGAAUUGAAGCUAAAUACACAAACUAAGAUAUGCACCCAUUUUCGUAGGGAGUAACGAUUGCACUUAGCACGUGCAACAAGCCUUUAAACCCCUAGGUUACCCUAGUGGACGAGUGCUGUCUCGUGAGGGUUUGCAGUGAAGUUACCCACAAACUUCAUUAGUCAGGAAUUUCUAAUGUUUAACUCAAAAUUUGAACAAGUAUCAUUGUAUGAACUUAGAAUUGCAAGGACAAUAAAGACUUAUUGCUAUCAUAUUUAAGCCGACUCUAACUCAAGUUCCAUUACUCCCCAUCUAUCUGCUAACAAGUCAAGAAUGUAGUGAGGUGCAAGAUAAUAUCAUAUAAAUGAGUGGCUUUCACUUACUUCCAACAUGAUCACUCCAAUUUUCAAGAUUUUCUAGAGUUAAAUGGUAAUGAACACCCCAAUUUUUUUUUAUUGUUAUAUUUUUUUUUAUCAGACUGAAUGCUAAGAAGAAUGACUUGUGCAAUAUCUAGCCUUAUUAAGCUUUCUAGCUGACCCAUGUAGCGAGUGUUAGGCCAAUGACUCCUGAUCCAGAUGGCUCAGGGCACUAGGUGUAGAGACACCCUAACGGGCUUAAUAACUCAAGUUAACUAGGCUUCAAGGCCAAAUUAGUCACUCAAAGUUUAAUCUCAAUCAUUCUCAUCUUUUUACGCGAACACUCGCUGCUUGCCAGGCAAGAGGCCCGGUUACUCAGUGAGAAGACUUAAAAUAAACUUAUUAUUUUAUUUUAUCUUUUUUUUUUGAUUAGGGGGUUCAUUACACAUAUAACUUUAAAUUAUCCCGAAUAUUAAAGUAUUCAUAUUAGUUGCAAGUAUACAUACCCCACUAUUUAUGUGCUUACGUGUAGGUGCUAAAUCAUCUUGUAUUAUAUUAGCAGAAGAUAGGUGGGACGAAAACUCAAGCUAGAAUUGCUAUCAUAUUCCUUAACUCAAAGCUAUUGUCAAAGCAAUUCCUAGUUUGUACAGCCAAAAAGAUUAGAGUUUGAGUUAAAAAUUUGAACUCCUUUUUUUUAUUUUAAUUUUAAUUUUUUUUUUGGCAUCAAAAAUAUUCUCACCCCCGUACCUAAAUCUAACAUUGUCCUCAAUGUUAAAGAAGAUUUAAAGCAGUAAUAGGAUAGAGGAGAAGUUACCUGAUAUGGGUAGGUAAAUUAACAAUUGGGGUAAAAAAAAUCCCAAACCUGCAUGUUAGUAAUUUUUUUUUAUAAUAUUUACAUGUUGGGUUGCCUUCCAAGAGCGCUAAGUUUUAUGUCUUCAGCCGGACAAAAUGUGAAUCCUCUUUUUUUUCAACCAUUAUCUAAGAAUGGUUUUGGAAGAGUCCGAUGAAGAACAGUUGGCUGAUGACGAUCUAUGCUCAUAAGGGGAAUAGAACUAAGGGGCGCAUGCUUGACCCCUUUCUCGGAAUGGACAAGGUAAGCUUCUAAAGGGUCCUUAUUAUAAGUUUGUAAGAAAGUCUCCUGAACCAGACUUUCAAUCAUGUCAACUUCAUUGAUUUUUUUGUCGUCUGGUGGUUGUUUACUUAUGUUGAAGACAUUAAGCUCGACUUUCAUGUUGCCAAAAGAUAAUUUUAGCAUCCCAUUCGACAGUUGAUCACAGCAUUUGCUGUGGCUAAGAAAGGCCUACCUAAAAUUAUAGGUGUAUGACUGUCUGGAUGUAUUGCAGGUUCAGUCUCAAGGAUAACGAAGUCCACAGGAUAGUAAAACUCGUUUACUUUCACUAUUUCAUCCUCUACAAUCCCCUUGGGGUACUUCACUGUCCUAUCUGCUAAGGACAGGGUAAUAUUUGUAGGCUUUAAUUCUCCCAAACCUAACUUUUGGUACACAUAGUAGGGAAGUAGGUUCACACUGGCUCCUAAAUCUAAUAGAGCUCUCUGGAUGAUCGUCUCUCCUAUUUUUAUUUCAAUGGUUGGGCAACCAGGGUCUUUGAAUUUCGGUGCAAUCUGUUGUUGAAUGAGAGAUGAGGCUUGUGCAGCCAUAACAGCUUGUCUAGGAAUACUGGUUUUUCUUUUGACCGUGGUGAGGUCUUUCAAGAAUUUUGUAUAGGAGGGAAUUUGUCUUAUGGCAUCGAGAAAAGGUAUAUUUAUUUGAACAGUUUUAAAAACUUCCAUUAUUUCAUCAAAGUUAGAUUGUUUCUUGGAGUCCUGAAGUCUACUGGGAAAGGAAACCUUAGGUUUGUAUGUUUCUAUGGGUUCUUCCUUUUUGUCUGAUUUAUCCUGUUCUUGACCCCUCUUCUGAAUAGGGUUCUUAUCGGAUUCAUUUUUAUUUUCUUUUUCAUGUUCAGGAAGUUGGACUUUAUUGUCCACUUGCUUGCCAGACCUUAAAGUGGUAAUCGUCUGGACUUCAUAGGUCGGAUUUCCAUUAGAAUCGAUUUGAUACUGACCUCUCUGACCUUGAUUUUGUUGUCUACUAGGGUUAGGCACUGGUUGACUAGGUAGUUCACCUUUCUUUCUAUCCCCUAGAGAGUUUGCUAUUUGGCUUAGACUAACCUCAAGUUUUGCAAUCGCUUGCGCAUGGAAUUGGUUAGUUUGGGCUUGGGCUGUGUUGGUCUGUUGUUGUUGCUUAAUAAAAUCUUAUUGUUGCUUCAUCAUAUUAACCAUCAUGGUUUCUAAUGGUGAAGGUUGCUGCGGGAUAGGGGCAUUAUAAGGAGGUACAGAUGGAACCAAAAGUUGGUUCAUUUGUGAUGGACCUAUCCUGGGGAAGUUGUUCUGAAAAUCUGGUAGACCACCUUGAUGCUGAAUAGGUUCGUUCUGCUUGUAUGAGAAAUUUGGGUGGAACCUAUUAUCAGGAUGGUAGAAUGGACUGAAUGAAUUGGGAGUGGGCUUCUUGAAGGCACUAUACGAAUUUAGAGCAUUUGCUUGCUCGGCCUUUAUGGUGGGCAGAUUAGGACAGCACUCCACUAGAUGUUCCGGACUGUUACACAAGACACAUAAACUAUGUGACUCGUGAUCCACUUUCAUGAUGGGAUUUGACUCUUUGUAUGAACUCGAACUAGUGAAAACAGUGAAAGCAUCAAACUUUUUACUUAAGUUGUUCAUUCUCAGUCACCAGAUUGGACAUGACAUUUUUGAGUUCUGGAUAUGUUUUCAUUUCAUAAUUAUCUGGUUUUCUAGAUCCGAACUCAUCUCUAUUUACUUCCUCACCAUAGCUACUCCAAUUUUGGGCAUUUUCGGCUAAGUCAACAAGAAAUUCAUAGGCUUGAUCUGGGGUUUGGUUCAUGAACCUACCUUUGUGCAUGGACUCGAUCAUGUUUCUAUGUGCCGGAGGUAGUCCUUUAUAAAAGAAGUGGACCAGAUCAGCCUUAUCAAGCCCAUGGUGUGGGCAUUUGACCAACAAGUCAUGGAAUCAUUCCCAAGUUUGGAAGAAUUCCUCUUCAGAUUUCCCUCUAAAAGUUCUUAUGGCAUCCUUAAUUUUUUCUGUUUUAAUCAUGGGAUAAAAUUUUGCCAUGAACUUCCUAGAUAGUUGUUCCCAUGUUGUGAUGGAAUUUGGGGCCAGAGAAUAUAGCCAGGCCGCGGCUCGAUCCUCUAAGGUCAUUGGGAACAAUCUCAAUUUUACACUUUCUUCAUCUAAAUUUUGAUUUUUGAAAGUUUGACAAAUUGUCAUGAAUUUAUUUAGAUGAAUGUAGGGUUGUUCACUUUCAAACCCAUGGAAUUUGGGUAGCAUAUUUAUUGUCGCAGCCCGAAUUUCAAAUUGGGCUGCAUUAUUUAUUGGCAACACUAUACAUGUAGGUGGACUAGCGGAUGCAGGAGUGAAUAAUUCAUUCAGGGUUCUAAUGUGUUCACCCAUUGUAGAGAUUGACAGUUGAUUUACAGUUCGCAAGUUGUGAUAAAAAGUUCUGUCAAUCUCAGGAUCAAAUGGGGUUAACUUAUCCCUUAAUGACCUUCUACCAUGCAUACAUUAUCAACACUUCAUUAUAUUUGACUCCUAUAAUGAACGAAAUCCUAAAAGAAGAGAAGGGCUAGACACAGAUGACCACAACAAUUUGACCCUAUUAGUCUUAGAAUUAAGUGAGGUUUAGUAGCUUCUUAAAUCUAGUUGCACAGAGAUUUAUCAGGUUAAAAAGUUUCUGAAAUUCUCUCCUAGAUUAGACAGCUCCUAAUCUUCCUUUCAGAUUAAGCUUGAGCUUACCAGUUAAGCGAUUCAGUAACCAGUGACCAGGAAAGUCCCGAGGUGUGUGGUGGUGCCAGAAGGGUACACCGAUACCACAAUACCCGUAACAGUUCUCACUGUUGUAAAACUUUCCUAGACAUCACCAAUUACUAAAUCCUCACUGGAGUGGCUUUCAGCCGCUUCUUUCCAAGAGCCUAAUUGAGCUCGAAAACCCUAAGGCCAACGUCUAAUUUGAUUUUAAUUUAAUUUGGCUUAGGAUAUGUAUGCAAGGUGGUGAUUUUUGGGCUAAGGACNNNNNNNNNNNNNNNNNNNNAUUUUUUUAUUUAUUUUUUUAAAUUUUUUUUAAAUUUUUUUUAAAUUUUUAUAUAGCAAUAACUUGAAUGUAAACUAAAUACAAUCCUUAUGCGUCAGUCAAUCUCCGAAUGCCCGUUGAAUAAGCUCUGGAGAUUACUCCGUGAGGAGUCCCAAUAGAGGUAUGAUAACCUCGGAGGAUUGCACCCUAUCAAUUACUAGCAAAAAUAAUUUUUUUUUUGAUUUAAUUUUUUCUUUUUAAAUUUCAAAUUUCAAAUCUCAGAAUUCAAAUUUUGAAUUUAAAUUUUUUGAAUUUUUGAAUUUUGAAUUUUUUUUUAUUUUUUUUUGAAUAUUAAAUUUCGAAUUUCAAAUUUCAGAAUUUAAUAACUACGAAAUUAUUAACUAGAAAUUAUCAAAAUAAGGAAAAUUAAUAAAAAUAAAAAUAAAAACUUACUACCGGAGUGCGUUUACUCCGGACAUCCAAAAUUCGAUUUGAUCUUCGUGAUCGUUCUUGCUUCUCGAUUUGCCUCCCCGGCAACGGCGCCAAAAUUUUGUUCGUCCGAUUCUUGUUUACCUAAAAAUAUGCUAAACAGAUCGUUGUUAGAACCGACAAACAAAGUUUAAAUUAAUUUUUCUCUUACCUUUCCUACUCGAAGAAUAGUGGUUGUAAGAGGUCGAUCCACAGGGAGGCGAUUGGAGUUGCAUAAAAAUUAGAACAUUCACUUGGAUUCAAAAUCGAUUUUUGAAUAAUAAAAGAAAAACAUUAUAUCGGGGAUGAUGAUAGAUUCUCUAGUCUAUCAGAGAAUCUUCUUUAUUUAAAAAUAAUAAAAAGACAAGUACUUAGAAAUCAAAGAGCAUUUAUAAAUUCAUGAAAUGUUUAACUAUUCAAAGAAAAAUUUUGGCAUAAAUUAAAAUGGAUGAAAACAAGUGCUAAGAAGAUCAAAAGCCUAGAACAUAAAUUGCAUAAAAGAAAAUUUAAUGUAUUGCAUCAAAGAAGAAUUAAAAGAUUGCAUUAAAAAAAAUAGAAAUUAAGUUGAACCUAGAACAAGGAUUGCAUGAAAAAGAAAUGAUAGAUUUGAUAAAAAGAAAAUUUAUUGCAAAUAAAAGUGGAGAUUGGAAAUCUAAUGUUUCUUCUCUUUUACAAAUAACAUAAAAAAAUAAAACAAAAAGCUUCUCCCUCCUGCUAGAACAUAAAAUAUUAUUUUUUUUAUUCUUUUCUUCCCCCCAAGAACAGAGCAAUGCUCUGUUUUUCUUCUCAACCGAGCUCACCUCCUCCUCCUCCGACCCGCCGGCCACCACCCAAACCGAGCUCACCUCCUCCUCUUCGUUCUCCCCUUCUUAUAGUGCCACAGCAAGCGUGGAUGGCUGAAUCAUGGGCGGAAGGAGAGGGCGGACAGGCUCUUGGCUGGAACAGUGGCUUGAUCACAGCACGCUUGAUGGGCGCGGGAUCGCUGGAAUCGGGGAAGAAGGUCGUCCGGGAUGCGGAAGGAUGAAUGCGAGACACACGUGGAUGGCCAGAGGAGGCUGGGACGGGCUGGAUCUCUGCAUGCAUCAUGGGAUCUUGGACACGGAAGGAGGGAGGAGCUGCAGACGGGCGCCGAUUCGGAAGGAGGACGGCGUGAUUGCUGGGGUGCCGGAUGAAGAAGAUCCCGGUUUGCUGAUUUGGGAAGGAAGAAGACGCUGCGGGAUGAGCUGGAAACGUUGGUUGGAGACGCGUGGAUCACUGGAGAGGCGGACGUCGGUUGCUGGCUAGCGGGCUGAGGCGGAGGCUGCCGUGGGAUCGUCCGGCUUGGAUCACGGGAGAGGGGCUGGAGCUCACUUGGAAAGCGCCGCGAGACCACUGCUAGCAUCACGGGAGGAAAGAGCUGGCUCGGGAGCUCUCGAUAUGGAGGAGGCCGGACAGGAUGAGUGGCUGUGAGCCGCUGGGAGUAGCGUUGAAGACGCGGAAUGGAAGAGACGCACGUGGGAUGAGGCGGAGGAGCUGCAGAUCUGGAAAGAGUUGGAGGUGUCGUGGACGGCGGAUGGUGGCGUGAUCACGCCUUGCUGGAACGUUGAAUUGGUCAUGUGCCAGUUUCUGCAAUGGACUUAGAUUUUGGAAGAAGGUCUGGGACUUUCUUUGCCCUCCUGAGAUGAGAGCUGGGAGAUGCCAAGUUCCGUCCAAUUAGUCAUAUAGAUAAAAAAAAUAGUGUGAUAUGAAAUUUGGCUUGUAGACGGACGGACUGAGUUCGUCACGGGUCAUCUAUUCUGACUGGAGGUUAAGUGCAAGUCUUUCAAGUCAUGGGUCACCCAGCACCUCAUAGUUAUGAUAUGGCCAAAUUAGAUUUGCCCAAAAUUCCUUCCCAAAAACACAAAGAAAAUGGACUUGAUUCGGACCCGAACCUGACUCGGACCCGACCCGAUCUUCAACCGGAUCGGAUCUGGGAAGGGAUCCUUUUGAAGUCAAAUUUGUACUCAAUGUGCAUUUUAUCUCUAAUUUAUGAUAAUCUGUAUCAACCCCAAAUAUAAUAUUAAUCCAGUGAAUUUAUCAUUAUCGGUUAGCAAUAACACUAAUUUUAGUGACAUGUAGGUUGCACUUUUGUGCUCUCAUCACAGCAUAAAUCUGGCACUUUCAUCUCAAACAUGUUAUUUUGUUGAGGCCUUGAAGAUUUGCAUGAUGACAUCAACCUUAUCUGUUACCAAACUUUUCUAUUCUUUUCCGUCAGUAGAGGUUCCUACAUUAGAUAAUAUUUCUCUCAAUAUCAUUUUGGAUCUCUGAUAAAGAAUUGCCACAGUUAAGGACAGCCAUGAAGACAACUUGCACAAUGAUUUAUCAGGGACAUGCAUCUUGUGAACCAUUCUUAAGUUGCAUGCUGAUAAGUACCUUACCUUGUAUGAAUGUCCUCAUGUGAUUUUUUUUUUUCUUUUCAGUCUAAGGAGAUAAUUGAUUAUGCUGCAUGCUCCAUUAACACAGUA
RNAcentral lists this long non-coding RNA (8437 nucleotides) under Phoenix dactylifera (date palm). RNAcentral's name for it is "long non-coding RNA (PDAC_LNC008372)". Lineage: Eukaryota; Viridiplantae; Streptophyta; Magnoliopsida; Arecales; Arecaceae. The record is from RNAcentral.